UAACACGUGGGCAAUCUGCCCCAGACUUUGGGAUAACUACUCGAAAGAGUAGCUAAUACCGAAUAUUCAGCCUUGCAGGCAUCUGCGAGGCUGGAAAGUUUCUCGGUCUGGGAUGAGCCCGCGGCCUAUCAGCUAGUUGGUGAGGGUAAAUGGCUCACCAAGGCGACGACGGGUAGCCGGCCUGAGAGGGCGACCGGCCACACUGGGACUGAGACACGGCCCAGACUCCUACGGGAGGCAGCAGUGGGGAAUAUUGCGCAAUGGGCGAAAGCCUGACGCAGCAACGCCGCGUGCGGGAUGAAGGCCUUCGGGUUGUAAACCGCUUUCAGCAGGGAAGAAGCGAAAGUGACGGUACCUGCAGAAGAAGCACCGGCUAACUACGUG
RNAcentral lists this ribosomal RNA (384 nucleotides) under uncultured bacterium. Its description in RNAcentral is "bacterial SSU rRNA". It matches the Rfam family "Bacterial small subunit ribosomal RNA", at positions 111 to 507 of the family's 1533-position model. The record is from RNAcentral.